Long non-coding RNA from Panicum virgatum (switchgrass), 1987 nucleotides. RefSeq lists it as uncharacterized. The record is from RefSeq and is a predicted model, not a curated record. Lineage: Eukaryota; Viridiplantae; Streptophyta; Magnoliopsida; Poales; Poaceae. The transcript is spliced from 5 exons.
CACCGCUGCGCCGGUAGUUCAGACUGCGGGGGUUGUUGGUAUAUAUGUGAGCCCAUGUAUAGAGGCCCAUCUAGAAGCCCAUGUAUAAGAAAUAUAUAUCCCACCCUUCUAGAAUUUGGUGGAAUAGAGACAAUUAUUCUCUUCAUCAAGCAAUACCAUGUAAAUGUAUGUGUGUUAUUUUCGAUCUUCUGUUGUUGCAUGAAGACCAAAGUGGCUGCAUGGUCUUUUCCUUGAAACAACAAGGACCUCCCGAAGACAUCCUGCUAUAUAGAGCACCGACAACUGAAUAUUGAAAAGCAUUCUUUGUACUCUGAUGGUUACAGAAUGAAGUAGCAAUUCUUUCAGCAAAAGAGAAGCAUUGCAUAUUUGCAAGUGAAGCGCUAAGGAUGGAAUGUUGAAAUUUGGAUGCACCACACUGUCAUACAGGGUUGGUAACAAGUAUCUUAAAGCAUUGCAGUGGCGUCUGCCCUUCGCUGGCAAGUGCACUCUAGGUGGUGAUGACCAUUCUACCAUUUCCUGAUCUGAUCUGUUUUUGGAAAAGAUGAGACCCGUACACGAUCCACGUGAAUGCAUCUUCCAAAGCUAAAGCUUCCAACCACGAUGGUUUCAUCUCUCACUCAUCGAUUGGGACUUGUCUGGCUUUCGCAUCUCCACACCAGCGCUGCAGCGCUUGCUGCCUGCUGGCCAUGGAUUCUUCUCCUCGUCAGUGUCUUGGCAUCAGCACGUGGAUAUGGCAUCGUGUCCUUUGAGAUGAUUGGCAGAUUGGGUCACUUCAAGCUUUGUAUCUACCCACUGACUCACGGAUAUACUUCAAAACUGGUCAUCCGAGGAUCUUAUGCUAAAGGGAGAGAAGUGUAAGUAACGAAGGAUGAGAAAAUAUAAUAUCAUUGACCUUGAACCACAAUGGUCAUGGUGAGCUUACAUUAUCUACAGUGGUAAGCAAGGAAUAUCUGUUGAAUUCUUUUGAGGAAUUCACACUUGAUGUCUCAACAUUACUGAUACUCACCGUGCUCUCAUGAAACUGAUACUCACAUCUGAUGUCUCAACAUUACUACCUGCAGUCAAAGAAAAGGUUGGUUAGGGUGUUACCCUGCCUCGAAAAUACAAAGCAUCAGUAUUGCUGUGGAUGUUUGUGCAAAAUAUGAUUGAACUUGCCAUGGAUUUUAUUUUCCCAGUAGAUGUGGUGUACACGACAAAUUAUGGCAAGUGCAGCAAUGUAUUUAUUUUGUUCACUAUUAAAUUUAGCAGGCCUUAAUUGCAAUAUUUUUCUGGAAGUAAGAUAAACAUAGAUAUUAAAGUUACACGGGAUCCUGACUAGAUUGUUAGUAUUGGAGCUUUUUUUUAAAAAAACUAGUAUUUGAACAUUUAGAUCUCACACUUUUACAUAGUUUUACAUCGUCAGGAAGGGAUCACUCAUCAGGUUCACUGUGAAUCUCUUCCAGUUGCAUUACUCUGAACCAGAAUAUGAGCUAAAUUUGACGGAUUGGUUAUUUUGUGGGACCCUGAGCAACCAAAGUCACAACAAAUGUAAAAUGAAAUAAUAGUGUUGUAGGACAAGCCGGAAAACUAUGAUAACACCUUCAUAUAGCACCUAUACAAUAAACUAUGUGCCAAAGGAAAUUGCAGAGAUGAGAUGGCAGAUCCUGUAUCCAUCUUCAUGCAUUUCAGUUACAGAUAAGUAUAACGUGCUUUUCUUUUGAAGUGAUCCAAAAACAAUGUCAGGGCAGGGCAGAUCUUGAAUGAAUCCGACGAAUGGAAGUUCUAUCUGUACAGCUUCUUUUGCAAUAAAAGCACAAAAUGUUUUAGGUUUCCGUGUACCAUCGCUGCUCUUGAGAUUUCUCUAUGCAAUUUUUUUCACGGUUGCUCUUGGGACUUUUUCUUUUAAAAGCUUGGCUGCUCAAAUGUUUCCCUGAAAUCUUCUUCUUGUAGAGCCUCACCUUUUUACGGCCUUGAACGUUUGGGCUGACAUGAAGCACGCUGCAUCCAU